UCAACACAUGCAACGGAUAUGCCUUGAAUUACUUAUUCUUGCUGCUUAGAAUCAGACACCAGGAAGCAAUAAUUAAGAUGGAGAUAUAAGAAGAGCUGACCUGGGAGUCUAUUCAGCUGUUGAUAUUUUCUGAAGGGAUACUCUCCCUCUCAAAAAGAGCAACAGGAUGAGAUGACAGCUUUUCUCAUGGCCCUGUUAAUAGUUUUUGCUAACAAGGAAAGGGGAAGGGAAUAAUUCUUUGCAAUAAUAUUGACUUCUUCUGUGAUCUUGGCAUCA
This 276-nucleotide long non-coding RNA is filed under the name Phasianus colchicus (ring-necked pheasant). Its description in RNAcentral is "lncRNA (ENSPCLG00000003899.1)". The record is from RNAcentral. Lineage: Eukaryota; Metazoa; Chordata; Aves; Galliformes; Phasianidae.